GGUCAAGCUACAAAGGGCUCACGGUGGAUACCUUGGCACACAGAGGCGAUGAAGG
This 55-nucleotide ribosomal RNA is filed under the name uncultured Synechococcus sp. RNAcentral describes it as "partial 23S ribosomal RNA". The record is from RNAcentral. Lineage: Bacteria; Bacillati; Cyanobacteriota; Cyanophyceae; Synechococcales; Synechococcaceae.